UACAGAGGGGGCAAGCGUUAUUCGGAAUUAUUGGGCGUAAAGGGCGCGUAGGCGGCUUGGCAAGUGGAAGGUGAAAGCCCCCGGCUCAACUGGGGAGGGUCACGCGAUACUGUUCGACUCGAAGGCAGGAGAGGGAAGUGGAAUUCCCGGUGUAGUGGUGAAAUGCGUAGAUAUCGGGAGGAACACCAGUGGCGAAGGCGACUACCUGGCCUGUUCUUGACGCUGAGGCGCGAAAGCUAGGGGAGCAAACGGG
RNAcentral lists this ribosomal RNA (253 nucleotides) under uncultured bacterium. Its description in RNAcentral is "partial 16S ribosomal RNA". It matches the Rfam family "Bacterial small subunit ribosomal RNA", at positions 524 to 776 of the family's 1533-position model. The record is from RNAcentral.